This 164-nucleotide ribosomal RNA is filed under the name uncultured bacterium. RNAcentral's name for it is "partial 16S rRNA". It matches the Rfam family "Bacterial small subunit ribosomal RNA", at positions 355 to 511 of the family's 1533-position model. The record is from RNAcentral.
UAGGGAAUCGUCCACAAUGGACGCAAGUCUGAUGGAGCAACGCCGCGUGAGUGAAGAAGGGUUUCGGCUCGUAAAGCUCUGUUGUUAAAGAAGAACGUGGGUAAGAGUAACUGUUUACCCAGUGACGGUAUUUAACCAGAAAGCCACGGCUAACUACGUGCCAG